AUGGAGCUUACAGGGGUCUGGGUGUCUCCCCGCAGAGCCCGGCGCACCAACACCCUGGGUCCACAGAGAACCCCAGGCCGAGGAGGAACCCGGCGCACCGCCCCUCCGGCCUGCCCAGCCGACUUCCAGGCGGGGUUAGGCUGGGAAGGGGCACCAGGUGGGUCCGAGUGUGGAAGGCUUCAGGCGGCGGCAGUUGGAAAACUGAAACCCGGGUUCCCGACUGAGCCGGCCCUGGGGACUCAGAAGGGAGCGCCAGGAAACUGGGGUGCGCCGUGGCUCCGAGGCGCAGAAGCGCCGGCUGCUGGGUCGCCGAGGCUUCUUUCCAGCCAGCAGGGAGCAGGGGACUCAGCGCAGGUCCUGAGACCUAAAGCCGCAGACCUAGCUCCGGCCGUUUCUGCCGAUCACACCUCCUCUCUAUUCCCGGCUGUUGGAAAUACGCAGCUGUCUGCGCUCCUGGGGCCUGGUCCCAGCAGGGACCUGCCUGAGCUCUGCCUCCCGCGCCCCGCGGGCCGCCGAGCCUCCACUGAGGUGCGCGGCCGGGACUCGCCCCAACAAACCGCCCAAAUCCUCCCCGUCAAGCUGUUGACGGGCCGAUUACUGACUUUGAAGUCAGAGGCAGACAAAAAGAAAUCCCCUGGGGGUGGCGGCGGGGNGGGGGGGGGGGGGGGGGGGGGGGGGGGGGCAGUCCCUGUCAAACCUGUUUGCUCACAACUGUCUCUUUCUUUCAAGAAAAUCAUUAAAGCAAACCUGUAGGGAGAGCAGUGCCCCGCCCGCUGGAGUCGAGGAGAGCCGCUUCUCCCGAGCGCGCGACGCGCAAAGAGCCACCAGGAGUUCUUUCGGGCAGACUGCUCGGUCGGGAGAAUGAGCGCUCCCUCAGCGCGCCAGGCGCCCGAGACUCUGCAGGAGGCUACUCCAUCGACCCCUGUGCGCUUGGCGCGCCUCCCACGGCCCGAGAGCCCGGGACUUCUGCCCACCACACGGGCCUCCUUCGGGCAGGCUCUGCAGGGCAGACCCGGGCCUCUUGCCUGCGGGUGCGAUUGCUUCCAGGGAACAACCACAACAAAAAAUGACCCAAUAGAAGCUGCGCUUGCCCCUGCCUUUCCUCAACUGGGCUUUAUCUAGGAGCGCGGAAACCUGGCCAACAGACGGCUCCGGAUGUCAGCGGGCGGCGCUGGCCCGGCAGAGGCAGUUGUUUGACUGUUACGUUUUUUUUCUUAAACCUUGGCAGCCGUUUUGCUCAAGGACACACUGGCCACAUUCUUCUGGGAGAUGCAGGAUGGUUGGAUCCCCUCCGCCCCUGGCUUCUUCUGGCGACCCUUUGCAGCUUUUCUUGCCCUUCCCCAGUUUUGGAUCCUACUCCAAACACCUUUGAUACCCUUCCAGUUUCUUUUUAAAUAUCAAUUUCCUUAGAACUGCUAACUUCAUUGAUGGGAAAGAUAGGCUACUUAAGAGUAAGUCGUACUGAGGUGGUAGUGGCUGGGUUCUGAGACACCUUAACAUUUACAUUUUAAAACAAGAUCUAGAUAACCUGCGGGAAUCUCUUCAGUCAUCUAAAACGGGGUGAUAUUUCAGACAGGGUAGGGCCUAGAGGACUUUCAUUGCAUCACAACAUCCAGAGAACGCUCUCUAGCGCAGGCAGCUUCUUUGGAGAGAUCCCAGACUGCCAAGGCCCAGGAAACUUGGGGAGCGGUGGCGCCAGGACUGCCCUGGAGGACUCGUUUUUCGUUUUUGUUUUUGUUUUUGUUUUCCGGCUCCUCCCCAGCUCAGGCCUUGCCACCAUUGUUCAAGCAGACAAUGAAUUUCAAGUCAUUUGAAUUUGAAUAUCCGGUAACUCACAAGAUUCCUGUUGAGAACCUUCAUCUAUUUACUGGGCUCACUGUACCUGUGUAUAAGUGUUAAAAGAGGAAGACAGAGGCAGAAGGGGCCCAUUAGAUUUGGGUUCAGGAGACGCUGGGGCCGGUGCUUCGUGCCUCCGCCGAGGGGCGCGCGCUCCUAGGCUGUGGCUGUGCCCUGGCCUCNNNNNNNNNNNNNNNNNNNNNNNNNNNNNNNNNNNNNNNNNNNNNNNNNNNNNNNNNNNNNNNNNNNNNNNNNNNNNNNNNNNNNNNNNNNNNNNNNNNCGCCGAGGGGCGCGCGCUCCUAGGCUGUGGCUGUGCCCUGGCCUCGGAGACCUCGCAGACCCAGGAGCACUGCUUGGGCUGAUUUCUUUCUUGGCGCUAUGGGAUGAGACUUGUCCUGGAGCCAGAAAUGCUAGCUCAGGGCAGCCGCAAAGUAAUGAAGAUACAACGUUAAGUUGCGGGAGAGUGUGGGCCGCUAGAAAUCCUGGGGCGUCCACACCACAGAACGCAACCCGAGACUUGCGGUC
This 2362-nucleotide long non-coding RNA is filed under the name Capra hircus (goat). Its description in RNAcentral is "lncRNA (ENSCHIG00010008189.1)". Lineage: Eukaryota; Metazoa; Chordata; Mammalia; Artiodactyla; Bovidae. The record is from RNAcentral.